AGUAAGACAGAUGGUCGCUGCUGCAGAACCGAAAGGCUGCAGGGGAGGAAAGUCCGGGCUUCACAGGGCAGGAUGCCAGAUAACGUCUGGUGGAGGCGACUCCAAGGACAGUGCAACAGAAAUAAACCGCAGGAGUAUUCCUGUAAGGGUGGAAAGGCAGUGUAAGAGACUACCGCCUUCCUGGUAACAGGAAGGGCACAUGUAAACCCCAUCCGAAGCAAGGCCGAACAGGGAGCAUGGGCGGCCCGUCCGCUUCCGGGUAGGCCGCUGGAGCCUGGCGGUGACGCCAGGCCUAGAUAGAUGACCAUCCAACGACAUAACCCGGCUUAUCGUCUUGCUCA
Molecule: RNase P RNA, 341 nt
Filed under: uncultured Lachnoclostridium sp.
Lineage: Bacteria; Bacillati; Bacillota; Clostridia; Lachnospirales; Lachnospiraceae
Description: Bacterial RNase P class A
Rfam family: Bacterial RNase P class A
About the family: Ribonuclease P (RNase P) is a ubiquitous endoribonuclease, found in archaea, bacteria and eukarya as well as chloroplasts and mitochondria. Its best characterised activity is the generation of mature 5'-ends of tRNAs by cleaving the 5'-leader elements of precursor-tRNAs.
Source: RNAcentral